RNAcentral lists this ribosomal RNA (1424 nucleotides) under uncultured bacterium. RNAcentral describes it as "bacterial SSU rRNA". It matches the Rfam family "Bacterial small subunit ribosomal RNA". The record is from RNAcentral.
UGAGUUUGAUCCUGGCUCAGGAUUAACGUUGGCAGUGCGCCUAACACAUGCAAGUCGAGCGAUAUAGCGGCAGACGAGAGAGUAAUAGUAAGGAACUUACCUCCGAGUGAAGGAUAGCCAGCCGAAAGGUUGGGUAAUCCUGCAUAAUAUCGAAAGAUCAAAGGUCCGCCUUUGGCGGAGCGCUUGGGGAGAGGCCUUACUCCUAUCAGCUUGUUGGUGAGGUAAUGGCUCACCAAGGCGAUGACGGGUAGCUGGUCUGAGAGGAUGAUCAGCCUCGAUGGGACUGAGACACGGCCCAUACUCCUACGGGAGGCAGCAGUUGGGGAUUUUGCACAAUGGAGGAAACUCUGAUGCAGCGACACUGCGUGAAGGAUGAAGGUUCUAGGAUCGUAAACUUCUUUUAUCAGGGAGUAAUCUUGAAAGUACCUGAUGAAUAAGGACCGGCUAACUACGUGCCAGCAGCCGCGGUAAUACGUAGGGUCCGAACGUUAUCCGGAAUUGUUGGGCGUAAAGAGUUCGUAGGUGGCAAGAAAAGUCGGGCAUUAAAGCCCUCGGCUCAACCGAGGAAUCGUAUCCGAAACUUUCUAGCUAGAGGUUCGCAGAGGCAGAUGGAAUUCAUGGUGUAGCAGUGGAAUGCGUAGAUAUCAUGAAGAACACCAAUGGCGAAGGCAGUCUGCUGGGCAACACCUGACACUGAGGAACGAAAGCGUGGGUAGCGAACGGGAUUAGAUACCCCGGUAGUCCACGCCGUAAACGAUGCACACUAGGCAUUUGGAGUAUCGACCCUUCGAGUGCCGAAAGCUAAACGCGUUAAAGUGUGCCGCCUGGGUAGUACGGCCGCAAGGCUAAAACUCAAAGGAAUUGACGGGGACCCGCACAAGCGGUGGAACAUGAGGUUUAAUUCGAUACUAAGCGAAGAACCUUACCAGGACUUGACAUCUCUGGAACCCCCUAGAAAUAGGGGGGUGCCUUCGGGAGCCAGAUGACAGGUGUUGCACGGUCGUCGUCAGCUCGUGCUAUGAAGUGUCCCGUUAAGUCGGUUAACGAGCGCAACCCCUGCUGUUUGUUGAAUUUUUCAAACAGGACUGCCGGCGUUAAGUCGGAGGAAGGUGGGGAUGACGUCAGAUCAGCGUGGCUCUUACGUCCUGGGCGACACUCGUGUUACAAUGGGUAGUCACAAAGGGUUGCAAUACCGCAAGGUGGAGCUAAUCCCAUAAAACUACCCCCAGUUCGGAUUGAGGGCUGCAACUCGCCCUCAUGAAGCCGGAAUCGCUAGUAAUCGUAGGUCAGCCAUACUACGGUGAAUACGUUCUCGGGUCUUGUACACACUGCCCGUCAAGUCAGGAAAGCCGGUAACAUCUUAAGUGCCCAACAGGGUACCACGGUGGGAUCGGUGAUCAGGACUAAGUCGUAACAAGGUAACC